AGUGAACGCUGGCGGUAGGCCUAACACAUGCAAGUCGAACGGCAGCACAGUAAGAGCUUGCUCUUACGGGUGGCGAGUGGCGGACGGGUGAGGAAUACAUCGGAUUUACCUUUUUCGUGGGGGAUAAGGAGGGGAACCUACCCCUAUACCCCAAUAGACCUUACGGUGGAAGGCAGGGGUCCUCGGAACUUUCGGCGUUUGAUUGAGCGAUGUCGGAUUAGCUAGUUGGCGGGGUAAAGGCCCACCAAGGCGACGAUCCGUAGCUGGUCUGAGAGGAUGAUCAGCCACACUGGAACUGAGACACGGUCCAGACUCCUACGGGAGGCAGCAGUGGGGAAUAUUGGACAAUGGGCGCAAGCCUGAUCCAGCCAUACCGCGUGGGUGAAGAAGGCCUUCGGGUUGUAAAGCCCUUUUGUUGGGAAAGAAAAGCAGCAGGUUAAUACCCCGCUGUUCUGACGGUACCCAAAGAAUAAGCACCGGCUAACUUCGUG
Molecule: ribosomal RNA, 491 nt
Filed under: uncultured bacterium
Lineage: Bacteria
Description: partial 16S ribosomal RNA
Rfam family: Bacterial small subunit ribosomal RNA
Source: RNAcentral